Molecule: ribosomal RNA, 2906 nt
Filed under: Salmonella enterica subsp. enterica serovar Paratyphi B
Lineage: Bacteria; Pseudomonadati; Pseudomonadota; Gammaproteobacteria; Enterobacterales; Enterobacteriaceae
Description: bacterial LSU rRNA
Rfam family: Bacterial large subunit ribosomal RNA
Source: RNAcentral
UUAAGCGACUAAGCGUACACGGUGGAUGCCCUGGCAGUCAGAGGCGAUGAAGGGCGUGCUAAUCUGCGAUAAGCGCCGGUAAGGUGAUAUGAACCGUUAUAACCGGCGAUACCCGAAUGGGGAAACCCAGUGUGAUUCGUCACACUAUCAUUAACUGAAUCCAUAGGUUAAUGAGGCGAACCGGGGGAACUGAAACAUCUAAGUACCCCGAGGAAAAGAAAUCAACCGAGAUUCCCCCAGUAGCGGCGAGCGAACGGGGAGGAGCCCAGAGCCUGAAUCAGCAUGUGUGUUAGUGGAAGCGUCUGGAAAGGCGCGCGAUACAGGGUGACAGCCCCGUACACAAAAGCGCAUGUGUUGUGAGCUCGAUGAGUAGGGCGGGACACGUGGUAUCCUGUCUGAAUAUGGGGGGACCAUCCUCCAAGGCUAAAUACUCCUGACUGACCGAUAGUGAACCAGUACCGUGAGGGAAAGGCGAAAAGAACCCCGGCGAGGGGAGUGAAAAAGAACCUGAAACCGUGUACGUACAAGCAGUGGGAGCACAGGUUUACCUGUGUGACUGCGUACCUUUUGUAUAAUGGGUCAGCGACUUAUAUUCUGUAGCAAGGUUAACCGUAUAGGGGAGCCGGAGGGAAACCGAGUCUUAAUUGGGCGUUAAGUUGCAGGGUAUAGACCCGAAACCCGGUGAUCUAGCCAUGGGCAGGUUGAAGGUUGGGUAACACUAACUGGAGGACCGAACCGACUAAUGUUGAAAAAUUAGCGGAUGACCUGUGGCUGGGGGUGAAAGGCCAAUCAAACCGGGAGAUAGCUGGUUCUCCCCGAAAGCUAUUUAGGUAGCGCCUCGUGAAUUCAUCUCCGGGGGUAGAGCACUGUUUCGGCUAGGGGGCCAUCCCGGCUUACCAACCCGAUGCAAACUGCGAAUACCGGAGAAUGUUAUCACGGGAGACACACGGCGGGUGCUAACGUCCGUCGUGAAGAGGGAAACAACCCAGACCGCCAGCUAAGGUCCCAAAGUCAUGGUUAAGUGGGAAACGAUGUGGGAAGGCCCAGACAGCCAGGAUGUUGGCUUAGAAGCAGCCAUCAUUUAAAGAAAGCGUAAUAGCUCACUGGUCGAGUCGGCCUGCGCGGAAGAUGUAACGGGGCUAAACCAUGCACCGAAGCUGCGGCAGCGACGCUUAUGCGUUGUUGGGUAGGGGAGCGUUCUGUAAGCCUGUGAAGGUGGCCUGUGAGGGUUGCUGGAGGUAUCAGAAGUGCGAAUGCUGACAUAAGUAACGAUAAAGCGGGUGAAAAGCCCGCUCGCCGGAAGACCAAGGGUUCCUGUCCAACGUUAAUCGGGGCAGGGUGAGUCGACCCCUAAGGCGAGGCCGAAAGGCGUAGUCGAUGGGAAACGGGUUAAUAUUCCCGUACUUGGUGUUACUGCGAAGGGGGGACGGAGAAGGCUAUGUUGGCCGGGCGACGGUUGUCCCGGUUUAAGCGUGUAGGUGUGUGUUCCAGGUAAAUCCGGUUCACUUUAACACUGAGGCGUGAUGACGAGGCACUACGGUGCUGAAGCAACAAAUGCCCUGCUUCCAGGAAAAGCCUCUAAGCAUCAGGUAACAUCAAAUCGUACCCCAAACCGACACAGGUGGUCAGGUAGAGAAUACCAAGGCGCUUGAGAGAACUCGGGUGAAGGAACUAGGCAAAAUGGUGCCGUAACUUCGGGAGAAGGCACGCUGACACGUAGGUGAAGUGAUUUACUCAUGGAGCUGAAGUCAGUCGAAGAUACCAGCUGGCUGCAACUGUUUAUUAAAAACACAGCACUGUGCAAACACGAAAGUGGACGUAUACGGUGUGACGCCUGCCCGGUGCCGGAAGGUUAAUUGAUGGGGUCAGCGCAAGCGAAGCUCCUGAUCGAAGCCCCGGUAAACGGCGGCCGUAACUAUAACGGUCCUAAGGUAGCGAAAUUCCUUGUCGGGUAAGUUCCGACCUGCACGAAUGGCGUAAUGAUGGCCAGGCUGUCUCCACCCGAGACUCAGUGAAAUUGAACUCGCUGUGAAGAUGCAGUGUACCCGCGGCAAGACGGAAAGACCCCGUGAACCUUUACUAUAGCUUGACACUGAACAUUGAGCCUUGAUGUGUAGGAUAGGUGGGAGGCUUUGAAGCGUGGACGCCAGUCUGCGUGGAGCCGACCUUGAAAUACCACCCUUUAAUGUUUGAUGUUCUAACGUGGACCCGUAAUCCGGGUUGCGGACAGUGUCUGGUGGGUAGUUUGACUGGGGCGGUCUCCUCCUAAAGAGUAACGGAGGAGCACGAAGGUUGGCUAAUCCUGGUCGGACAUCAGGAGGUUAGUGCAAUGGCAUAAGCCAGCUUGACUGCGAGCGUGACGGCGCGAGCAGGUGCGAAAGCAGGUCAUAGUGAUCCGGUGGUUCUGAAUGGAAGGGCCAUCGCUCAACGGAUAAAAGGUACUCCGGGGAUAACAGGCUGAUACCGCCCAAGAGUUCAUAUCGACGGCGGUGUUUGGCACCUCGAUGUCGGCUCAUCACAUCCUGGGGCUGAAGUAGGUCCCAAGGGUAUGGCUGUUCGCCAUUUAAAGUGGUACGCGAGCUGGGUUUAGAACGUCGUGAGACAGUUCGGUCCCUAUCUGCCGUGGGCGCUGGAGAACUGAGGGGGGCUGCUCCUAGUACGAGAGGACCGGAGUGGACGCAUCACUGGUGUUCGGGUUGUCAUGCCAAUGGCACUGCCCGGUAGCUAAAUGCGGAAGAGAUAAGUGCUGAAAGCAUCUAAGCACGAAACUUGCCCCGAGAUGAGUUCUCCCUGAGACUUAGAGUCUCCUGAAGGAACGUUGAAGACGACGACGUUGAUAGGCCGGGUGUGUAAGCGCAGCGAUGCGUUGAGCUAACCGGUACUAAUGAACCGUGAGGCUUAACCUU